This 452-nucleotide long non-coding RNA is filed under the name Physcomitrium patens. RNAcentral describes it as "long non-coding RNA (PPAT_LNC005442)". Lineage: Eukaryota; Viridiplantae; Streptophyta; Bryopsida; Funariales; Funariaceae. The record is from RNAcentral.
UUUAAUUAAAUCCUAAUUUAAUCCUAGUUGAAAUCCUAAUGGACUUCGAUCAAAUCCUAGACCAAAUCCUAAAUCCUAAAUAAAUCCAAAAUCCUAAAUUUUAACCAAAUCCUAAAUCCUAAAUUAUAAAAAAAUCCUAAAUCCUAAUCCAAAUCUAAAUCCUAACCAAAUCAUAAAUCUUAGUCCAACCUUAAAUUCUAAUCAAAUCCUACAUCUUAAUUCAACCCUACUCUAAACCAAACCUUAACCAAAACCUAAGGAACUCAACUUAAUCCUAGCACAAUUUAGAACCUCAAUAUUUAUUGAUUAAACUAUUGAUCUUACUUAAAAUUUUAUACUCUUUUCAACAACUAAGUUUGCAAUAUGCACACAAAAUUUUUAGAGAAUUCAACUUACUACAUAGAAGAAAAAUAUAAAAAUCCGCUUAGGUGUCAACUAGCCUCCUUCAAUCU